GAUGAACGCUGGCGGCGUGCCUAAUACAUGCCAGUCGAGCGAACAGACUAGGAGCUUGCUCCUCAGACGUUAGCGGCGGACGGGUGAGUAACACGUGGAUAACCCACCUAUAAGACUGGGAUAACUUCGGGAAACCGGAGCUAAUACCGGAUAAUAUAUUGAACCGCAUGGUUCAAUAGUGAAAGACGGUUUUGCUGUCACUUAUAGAUGGAUCCGCGCCGCAUUAGCUAGUUGGUAAGGUAACGGCUUACCAAGGCAACGAUGCGUAGCCGCCCUGCGCGGGUGAUGGGCCAAACUGCACCUGAGACACGGUCCAGACUCCGAGGGGAGGCAGCGGUAGGGAAUCUUGCGCAAUGGGCGAAGGCCUGACGGAGCAGCGCCGCGUGAGUGAUGAUGGUCUUCGGCUCGUAAAACUCUGUUAUUGGGGAAGAACAAAUGUGUAAGUAACUGUGCACGUCUUGACGGUACCUAAUCAGAAAGCCACGGCUAACUACGUG
This 497-nucleotide ribosomal RNA is filed under the name uncultured bacterium. Its description in RNAcentral is "partial 16S ribosomal RNA". It matches the Rfam family "Bacterial small subunit ribosomal RNA", at positions 28 to 507 of the family's 1533-position model. The record is from RNAcentral.